CGUUCUAUGGCCGAACUGGUAAAGGCAUCAGCGAUUACAGGCGAAGUUGCGGGUUCAAGUCCCGCUGGAACGG
This is a transfer RNA of Operophtera brumata (winter moth), 73 nucleotides long. It matches the Rfam family "tRNA". Rfam says of the family: Transfer RNA (tRNA) molecules are approximately 80 nucleotides in length. Their secondary structure includes four short double-helical elements and three loops (D, anti-codon, and T loops). NCBI's taxonomy places the organism in Eukaryota, Metazoa, Arthropoda, Insecta, Lepidoptera, Geometridae. The record is from Rfam.